UACGGAGGGUGCAAGCGUUAUCCGGAUUCACUGGGUUUAAAGGGUGCGUAGGUGGGAAUGUAAGUCAGUGGUGAAAUCUCCGUGCUUAACAUGGAAACUGCCAUUGAUACUAUGUUUCUUGAAUUUUCUGGAGGUAAGCGGAAUAUGUCAUGUAGCGGUGAAAUGCUUAGAUAUGACAUAGAACAUCGAUUGCGAAGGCAGCUCGCUACACUAUGAUUGACACUGAGGCACGAAAGCGUGGGGAUCAAACAGG
RNAcentral lists this ribosomal RNA (253 nucleotides) under uncultured bacterium. Its description in RNAcentral is "partial 16S ribosomal RNA". It matches the Rfam family "Bacterial small subunit ribosomal RNA", at positions 524 to 776 of the family's 1533-position model. The record is from RNAcentral.